Long non-coding RNA from Pezoporus flaviventris, 2236 nucleotides. RefSeq lists it as uncharacterized. NCBI's taxonomy places the organism in Eukaryota, Metazoa, Chordata, Aves, Psittaciformes, Psittacidae. The transcript has 5 exons. The record is from RefSeq and is a predicted model, not a curated record.
AUGCUAUGAAAGCUGUCUCUUUAAAAAAAAUCAGCUCCUUAUUUCAUGAUGAAUGUAAAUCUGACAUGGAGGACUUCCUAAUAUCUGUUUAUCAGAAUAUAUUGGUAUUGUUAUUACUUAGAAAUGAAGCAUUCAUUGUUAUUUCUGUUCAUCUGUUUCCUCACCGUAUUCACCUCUUUCUCAGUGGCUUGGAUUGCAAGAUUUCUGGGACAGGAACUUGAGUUUUCUGCCACCAAUCUCAGCAAGAUUCUGGGCUCUGAAAAUGUUACAGCUGUAGGAAACAUACUAAUCCACUAAGGUCUUUCUAUAUUUUAGCACCUCAGACUAACCAGGAGCUAUUGUGAUUUAGCUCUUCACAUCUUUUCCCACAACUGAUAGCCUCCCCAGUCAGCAUUUGCAUCUUCCAUGGAAUGAAGCCAGUAGCCUACAUGUUUGAAUCUUCAGCCCCGAGGAAAUAUUUCUCAAUGGCGAGGAACCCUUUCUUUAAAGAACUGCCUUCAAAAGCCCAGAGCUCAUGGGGCUGCUGGACCUCCUUCUGCACCAUUCCUAAAGCGUGAAACAUCUAAUCGUAGAAGUGCCUAAAACCCACAGAAGUCCUUAUCUUUGAUAUAGGAAGCCUGAGAAACCACUGCCUUUGGGUCCUGAUUUUCCCCUAGGAACAAGGAACUCCAAAUGUCUCAUCGCAGAUCUUUUGUUAAAGCUUUAAAAUGUGUUUGGAUUUGUCCUUUAAAACUCCAGAUCAGUCUAAUUAAAGCAAAAUGAAUCCUCUUUAUUGAUUCCAGAAAGAUUUAGCUUAACAGCCCUGUCUCUACAAAGAAGAUAACACAACAUAUUAGGACAUCUUUGCUUUUCCGUGCAGUCAUAUCAUGCUAGACAAAGUAAAAGUUAACGUGUUGUAACCAGCAUCACCCAUGUCCAAAACCAGACUAUCAUUCAUUUUACUAUUCCACAUGCCUCAAUGUUGUCUUAGAAUGCUGUGACAAUUUCAAAUCAAGCUACUGAAAUGAUGUUAAUGUAUUUUGAGACUGAUUAUAGUUACGUGGAUUUUCUUGAAUUAAAUUGUUUGUAUUGAAAGGUUAUUUGAAAAAUUAAUACCUGUGCCUGUGAUUUUCAGCAUUCUCCCAUUCACACUGCUGGCAGUGGUGGUAAAUACACUGGACACAGAGGUGGAAGUUGAUUUUACAGGAAGCCCUGCACAAUACCUAUUUGCUAGUUCCUUCCUCUCCACGAGAAACAGAGAAAACAAUCUUUGAUUGGGCCUUCCAGCAUGACCCAUAAUAGAUGAAGCUCUGCUUUCCUGAAGGAAAGGUCAUGGCACCAUCCUGAAGCUGACAACAAUCAUCAAUGAGAUUCUUCACCAAGGUGCAUUUUAUUUUCUUUCUUUUUCCCUGAGCCUCUCUCUUUAUUCUUGCUUGUCACCAUAGAAGUUGACAAGAUGUAAAUUUCAUCUUUAUUCAAUCCUAGAUGAUUUUAUUUGCAUUUUAAAAGGCACUCAGAGGAAAAAAAAGAUGUUUUGUAUCACAAUAGGAAAAGGUAGUGGAAGCAUCUGCUAAUGAAAUGGACACAUUUUUGAAAGUCCUAAAUAUACAAAUACCAAAUAGACAACAACUCUUCAUACAACUUCAUUAAGAUAAUUAUUCCCUGGAUUCCAGAUGUCUAAAAAAAAAAAAAGACUCAAAGCAAAAUUCUGGGUUUGGUCACAUCGGAAUAAUAUUAAACCUUUUUUAAAUCAGUGAUUUAAUCUUAUUUACAUAACUAAAUUCAAGUGCAGAACUAGUUGUCAUUCUUUGACAGCAUAUGUCAUGUUAGACAAGAUGGACAUAGAUAGCUGUAAAGUAUGUGUGCCAUGUUAGACACAUUGCUGAGGAAGGGUUUAAAUUUAUGAUUUUUCUAAGAACUUCUUCUGGCUGAUUUUAUUUUAAAAUGAGCCUAAGCUUUAUUGGGGGAACAGGUAGUGUUAAUUUAGUCAUAAUUUAAGGUCUGGAGAAAAGGAAAUGUGUAAGAUCUAGACAGCAUGAGCCAAUGUGGUCAGCAUUUACAUGUCAAAACCAUGUUUUAAUUCCCAGUCAGUUCAGGAAACAUAAGAGCUAGUACAUCUAUAUGGCUGAUAGGGGUGUGGUGCAGCUAUAACUGAACCAGCUUCCAGUUUAGUUGAGUUGACUGAUCUAUCACAGCGUCAAUGACACCACUUCAUGGAUCAUGUGGUGCCAUGCCUUGACUUUCUGAGAUACCCAUC